Molecule: small nucleolar RNA, 147 nt
Organism: Eutrema salsugineum
Lineage: Eukaryota; Viridiplantae; Streptophyta; Magnoliopsida; Brassicales; Brassicaceae
Rfam family: Small nucleolar RNA snoR145
Source: Rfam
AAGCGAAGGACCCAGCAGGGAAGCGAGUAUGCUCAUGAAAUGAGGCUUCUCUAACAAUUUAUUUAACCUUCGUAGAUUGAGUCUCCAAGGAUUCUUUGAUGCUCUGCUGUUUUUUCAGCUAUCGUCUUGUGUUCUUGGUGUAUAGUU